Molecule: ribosomal RNA, 439 nt
Filed under: uncultured bacterium
Lineage: Bacteria
Description: partial 16S ribosomal RNA
Rfam family: Bacterial small subunit ribosomal RNA
Source: RNAcentral
CCUACGGGUGGCUGCAGUGGGGGAUAUUGCACAAUGGGGGGUACCCUGAUGCAGCGACGCCGCGUGGGUGAAGAAGAGCCUCGGCGCGUAAAGCCCUGUCAGCAGGGAAGAAAAUGACGGUACCUGAAGAAGAAGCCCCGGCUAACUACGUCCCAGCAGCCGCGGCAAUACGUAGGGGGCAAGCGUUAUCCGGAUUUACUGGGUGAAAAGGGGGCGUAGGGGGGCUGGUAAGUCAGCGGUAAAAAUUCGGGGCACAACCCCGGCCUGCCGUUGAAACCGGGGGCGUGGAGUGGGCGAGAGGAAGGCGGAAUGCGUGGUGUAGCGGUGAAAUGCAUAGAUAUCACGCAGAACCCCGAUUGCGAAGGCAGCCUUCCGGAGCGCUACUGACGCUGAGGCACGAAAGUGCGGGGAUCGAACAGGAUUAGAUACCCCUGUAGUC